Molecule: long non-coding RNA, 901 nt
Filed under: Manihot esculenta (cassava)
Lineage: Eukaryota; Viridiplantae; Streptophyta; Magnoliopsida; Malpighiales; Euphorbiaceae
Description: long non-coding RNA (MESC_LNC005352)
Source: RNAcentral
UUUCUUUUUCUUUUCUUUUCAUGACAGUUUGGGCAAAUCACCUCAUAGAGAGUUACACUAACUUUUUAUUUGCAUGUAUUUAUAUUUUUAUUUCCCUUGACCAAUGCAAAUUUAGAGAUUCAAUUCAAGAAAAAAACUUCUAAAGUGAAGGUAGCACACUAUAAUUGAUUCAAUUUAGGCUUAAAGGGGUGGAAAAUCAAUGGGGUCAUGAGAUAGGAAGCUCUUUUAACCUUGUUAUCUAUGCUGAGUAGAGCAAAAGCUAAGUCAAAAUUCUGUGUGUGUGUGUGUGCAAAAAGUGAAAAAUGUGUGAAAAAAUUUUGGUGUGUGUUUAUAGGGCAAAAAGAUGCAAAAAGAAACAAAAAGAAAGCAAAAAGAUAAUGUAAACGAAAAAAAAAUAUAACCUAACAGUAAAUACCCCCACACCUAUCCCAAACAUUGUCCUCAAUGGUUAAACAUUUAUAUGAAAAAAUUAAUAAGGAGAAGGAAAGGGACUGCCUGAUCUGUGGGCGAUUUGGCCAGUAAUUUGGGCAAAUCACUCGCCAAAUCACUGUCUGUCAUGGUGGUGGGGCAGAAAAUGGUCCACCAGCAGCUGCAGCAUGCUUUCCAUGUGCUGCAUCCUGUCUUCGAUUCUAGUGAGAUGAGCCUCCACCGAAUGGUCUUGAGGUGCCUUUUAUGUCCUCCAAGGUCCACCCAAUUGCUUCUUUGUGCUUCCUCAACACUUCUAGGAGUUUUUCUUCUUCUUGUGGGCUGAGCUGGUUGGAAAUUAUAGCUGGAAGUGUAUUUUCAGCUCCCAAGAAGGCAUAUUUGAGGUGUUCUGGUAAGGGCUUCAGAUCUGGUGCAUUUGCUGUCUGCUGGUUUGCUGUCUACUGUCUGCUGGUUGAUUUGAGCAGAUCAUCUGGUG